UUGAGCCGUAUGCGUUGAAACACGCACGUACGGUUCUGUGUGUGUGUGUGUGUUUAAUGAUCUGAGCCGUGCUUAGGGAUGAGGAAAAAGGUACGGAAAACACACU
Non-coding RNA from Volvox carteri f. nagariensis, 106 nucleotides. The record is from Rfam. NCBI's taxonomy places the organism in Eukaryota, Viridiplantae, Chlorophyta, Chlorophyceae, Chlamydomonadales, Volvocaceae.